Molecule: ribosomal RNA, 656 nt
Filed under: Triatoma matogrossensis
Lineage: Eukaryota; Metazoa; Arthropoda; Insecta; Hemiptera; Reduviidae
Description: SSU rRNA
Rfam family: Eukaryotic small subunit ribosomal RNA
Source: RNAcentral
UCGGAAUGAGUACACUUUAAAUCCUUUAACAAGGAUCCAUUGGAGGGCAAGUCUGGUGCCAGCAGCCGCGGUAAUUCCAGCUCCAAUAGCGUAUAUUAAAGUUGUUGCGGUUAAAAAGCUCGUAGUUGGUUCUGCGUGCCGCGCUGUCGGUUCGCCGCCUGUCGGUGUAACUGGCAUGUCGCGGCAUGUCCUGUCGGUGGUGAACGGAGUCCACGACGCUACAUGGGCUUUAUAGUCGAUGUUAGCAUCGUGUGUACUUCCGUUGGCCGAUCUCUCCUACUUCGGUGCUCUUAAACGAGUGUCGAGGUAGGCCGACACGUUCACUUUGAACAAAUUAGAGUGCUUAAAGCAGGCUGAAAUAUCUGCCUGAAUAGUGGUGCAUGGAAUGAUAAAACAGGACCUCGGUUCUAUUUUGUUGGUUUUAGGAAUAUGAGGUAAUGAUCAAUGUGGACUGGCGGGGGCAUUCGUAUUGCGACGUUAGAGGUGAAAUUCUUGGAUCGUCGCAAGACGCACUAGAGCGAAAGCAUUUGCCAAGUAUGUCUUAAUUGAUCAAGAACGAAAGUUAGAGGUUCGAAGGCGAUCAGAUACCGCCCUAGUUCUAACCAUAAACGAUGCCAGCCAGCGAUCCGCCGAUGUUCCUUUAAUGACUCGGCGGG